GCGGCUUCCACGGCUCCAUUUAUCUAUGGACGAUAUGCGGUCGAGUUGUGAUGAACGAUUUUGAAUUGAUCAUAAAUUUUAUUCAUCAAGUGACUGUUCAAGUUUGCUUCAUUAUCAGUAAUGAUCGAUUUCGGCACUCCAAAUCAGCAAAUCAAGUUAUUCUAGAUGAAAUCUGAAACCACUUUCUUUGUGACGGAUCUAUAUGAAACAUCUUUGACCCAUGUAGUAAAGUAAUCGAUAGCAACCAAACUAAAUCUAUGCCUACUUGACAAUGGUGGUUCUAUUGGUCCGAUAACAUCCAUACCCCAA
RNAcentral lists this long non-coding RNA (309 nucleotides) under Capsicum annuum. Its description in RNAcentral is "long non-coding RNA (CANN_LNC013974)". The record is from RNAcentral. Lineage: Eukaryota; Viridiplantae; Streptophyta; Magnoliopsida; Solanales; Solanaceae.